RNAcentral lists this ribosomal RNA (253 nucleotides) under uncultured prokaryote. RNAcentral's name for it is "partial 16S ribosomal RNA". It matches the Rfam family "Bacterial small subunit ribosomal RNA", at positions 524 to 776 of the family's 1533-position model. The record is from RNAcentral.
UACAGGGGGCUCGAGCGUUAGUCGGAAUCACUGGGCUUAAAGGGUGCGUAGGCGGUCCGCCAAGUGCUUUGUGAAAUCCCACAGCUCAACUGUGGAACAGCAGGGCAAACUGGCGGACUUGAGGCAGGUAGGGGCUGGAAGAACAGUUGGUGGAGCGGUGAAAUGCGUAGAUAUCAACUGGAAUGCCGAUGGGGAAGCCGUCCAGCUGGGCCUGUCUUGACGCUGAGGCACGAAAGCGUGGGGAGCAAACAGG